GGUUAAGCGACUAAGCGUACACGGUGGAUGCCCUGGCAGUCAGAGGCGAUGAAGGACGUGCUAAUCUGCGAAAAGCGUCGGUAAGGUGAUAUGAACCGUUAUAACCGGCGAUGUCCGAAUGGGGAAACCCAGUGCAAUUCGUUGCACUAUCGUUAACUGAAUACAUAGGUUAACGAGGCGAACCGGGGGAACUGAAACAUCUAAGUACCCCGAGGAAAAGAAAUCAACCGAGAUUCCCCCAGUAGCGGCGAGCGAACGGGGAGCAGCCCAGAGUCUGAAUCAGCUUGUGUGUUAGUGGAACGGUCUGGAAAGUCCGACGGUACAGGGUGAUAGUCCCGUACACCAAAAUGCACAGGCUGUGAACUCGAAGAGUAGGGCGGGACACGUGGUAUCCUGUCUGAAUAUGGGGGGACCAUCCUCCAAGGCUAAAUACUCCUGACUGACCGAUAGUGAACCAGUACCGUGAGGGAAAGGCGAAAAGAACCCCGGCGAGGGGAGUGAAAAAGAACCUGAAACCGUGUACGUACAAGCAGUGGGAGCACCUUCGGGUGUGACUGCGUACCUUUUGUAUAAUGGGUCAGCGACUUAUAUUCUGUAGCAAGGUUAACCGUAUAGGGGAGCCGCAGGGAAACCGAGUCUUAACUGGGCGUUAAGUUGCAGGGUAUAGACCCGAAACCCGGUGAUCUAGCCAUGGGCAGGUUGAAGGUUGGGUAACACUAACUGGAGGACCGAACCGACUAAUGUUGAAAAAUUAGCGGAUGACUUGUGGCUGGGGGUGAAAGGCCAAUCAAACCGGGAGAUAGCUGGUUCUCCCCGAAAGCUAUUUAGGUAGCGCCUCGUGAACUCAUCUUCGGGGGUAGAGCACUGUUUCGGCUAGGGGGUCAUCCCGACUUACCAACCCGAUGCAAACUACGAAUACCGAAGAAUGUUAUCACGGGAGACACACGGCGGGUGCUAACGUCCGUCGUGAAGAGGGAAACAACCCAGACCGCCAGCUAAGGUCCCAAAGUCAUGGUUAAGUGGGAAACGAUGUGGGAAGGCACAGACAGCCAGGAUGUUGGCUUAGAAGCAGCCAUCAUUUAAAGAAAGCGUAAUAGCUCACUGGUCGAGUCGGCCUGCGCGGAAGAUGUAACGGGGCUAAACCAUGCACCGAAGCUGCGGCAGCGACACUAUGUGUUGUUGGGUAGGGGAGCGUUCUGUAAGCCUGCGAAGGUGUGCUGUGAGGCAUGCUGGAGGUAUCAGAAGUGCGAAUGCUGACAUAAGUAACGAUAAAGCGGGUGAAAAGCCCGCUCGCCGGAAGACCAAGGGUUCCUGUCCAACGUUAAUCGGGGCAGGGUGAGUCGACCCCUAAGGCGAGGCCGAAAGGCGUAGUCGAUGGGAAACAGGUUAAUAUUCCUGUACUUGGUGUUACUGCGAAGGGGGGACGGAGAAGGCUAUGUUAGCCGGGCGACGGUUGUCCCGGUUUAAGCAUGUAGGCUGGUUAUCCAGGCAAAUCCGGAUAAUCAAGGCUGAGGUGUGAUGACGAGGCACUACGGUGCUGAAGUAACAAAUGCCCUGCUUCCAGGAAAAGCCUCUAAGCAUCAGGUAACAUCAAAUCGUACCCCAAACCGACACAGGUGGUCAGGUAGAGAAUACCAAGGCGCUUGAGAGAACUCGGGUGAAGGAACUAGGCAAAAUGGUGCCGUAACUUCGGGAGAAGGCACGCUGGUGUGUAGGUGAAGUCCCUGCGGAUGGAGCUGAGACCAGUCGAAGAUACCAGCUGGCUGCAACUGUUUAUUAAAAACACAGCACUGUGCAAACACGAAAGUGGACGUAUACGGUGUGACGCCUGCCCGGUGCCGGAAGGUUAAUUGAUGGGGUUAUCCGUAAGGAGAAGCUCUUGAUCGAAGCCCCGGUAAACGGCGGCCGUAACUAUAACGGUCCUAAGGUAGCGAAAUUCCUUGUCGGGUAAGUUCCGACCUGCACGAAUGGCGUAAUGAUGGCCAGGCUGUCUCCACCCGAGACUCAGUGAAAUUGAACUCGCUGUGAAGAUGCAGUGUACCCGCGGCAAGACGGAAAGACCCCGUGAACCUUUACUAUAGCUUGACACUGAACAUUGAGCCUUGAUGUGUAGGAUAGGUGGGAGGCUUUGAAGCGUGGACGCCAGUCUGCGUGGAGCCAACCUUGAAAUACCACCCUUUAAUGUUUGAUGUUCUAACGUUGGCCCCUGACCGGGGUUGCGGACAGUGUCUGGUGGGUAGUUUGACUGGGGCGGUCUCCUCCCAAAGCGUAACGGAGGAGCACGAAGGUUAGCUAAUCCUGGUCGGACAUCAGGAGGUUAGUGCAAUGGCAUAAGCUAGCUUGACUGCGAGCGUGACGGCGCGAGCAGGUGCGAAAGCAGGUCAUAGUGAUCCGGUGGUUCUGAAUGGAAGGGCCAUCGCUCAACGGAUAAAAGGUACUCCGGGGAUAACAGGCUGAUACCGCCCAAGAGUUCAUAUCGACGGCGGUGUUUGGCACCUCGAUGUCGGCUCAUCACAUCCUGGGGCUGAAGUAGGUCCCAAGGGUAUGGCUGUUCGCCAUUUAAAGUGGUACGCGAGCUGGGUUUAGAACGUCGUGAGACAGUUCGGUCCCUAUCUGCCGUGGGCGCUGGAGAAUUGAGGGGGGCUGCUCCUAGUACGAGAGGACCGGAGUGGACGCAUCACUGGUGUUCGGGUUGUCAUGCCAAUGGCACUGCCCGGUAGCUAAAUGCGGAAGAGAUAAGUGCUGAAAGCAUCUAAGCACGAAACUUGCCCCGAGAUGAGUUCUCCCUGAGACU
This 2794-nucleotide ribosomal RNA is filed under the name Klebsiella pneumoniae. Its description in RNAcentral is "partial 23S ribosomal RNA". It matches the Rfam family "Bacterial large subunit ribosomal RNA". RNAcentral also lists the same sequence under 91 other names. The record is from RNAcentral. Lineage: Bacteria; Pseudomonadati; Pseudomonadota; Gammaproteobacteria; Enterobacterales; Enterobacteriaceae.